RNAcentral lists this non-coding RNA (164 nucleotides) under uncultured Intestinimonas sp. Its description in RNAcentral is "Lysine riboswitch". It matches the Rfam family "Lysine riboswitch aptamer". Rfam says of the family: Riboswitches are metabolite binding domains within certain messenger RNAs that serve as precision sensors for their corresponding targets. Allosteric rearrangement of mRNA structure is mediated by ligand binding, and this results in modulation of gene expression. The record is from RNAcentral. Lineage: Bacteria; Bacillati; Bacillota; Clostridia; Eubacteriales.
GAUGAUAGAGGCGCAACGCCCAUCAGUACCCCCGCUGAGGCCCACGGAGGCCGGUGAUCCGGGGGGAAAGGGAGCUUUGCCGAAAUGGGCUGUCCGCCGUGGGACAGCCUGUUGGGCGUCGGGAGAAGAUCCCGCCGACUGUCACAUUGCGUGGAGUGCUAUCG